RNAcentral lists this ribosomal RNA (1034 nucleotides) under uncultured bacterium. RNAcentral describes it as "bacterial SSU rRNA". It matches the Rfam family "Bacterial small subunit ribosomal RNA", at positions 336 to 1393 of the family's 1533-position model. The record is from RNAcentral.
CUCCUACGGGAGGCAGCAGUGGGGGAUAUUGCACAAUGGGGGAAACCCUGAUGCAGCGACGCCGCGUGGAGGAAGAAGGUUUUCGGAUUGUAAACUCCUGUCGUUAGGGACGAUAAUGACGGUACCUAACAAGAAAGCACCGGCUAACUACGUGCCAGCAGCCGCGGUAAAACGUAGGGUGCAAGCGUUGUCCGGAAUUACUGGGUGUAAAGGGAGCGCAGGCGGGAAGACAAGUUGGAAGUGAAAACCAUGGGCUCAACCCAUGAAUUGCUUUCAAAACUGUUUUUCUUGAGUAGUGCAGAGGUAGAUGGAAUUCCCGGUGUAGCGGUGGAAUGCGUAGAUAUCGGGAGGAACACCAGUGGCGAAGGCGGUCUACUGGGCACCAACUGACGCUGAGGCUCGAAAGCAUGGGUAGCAAACAGGAUUAGAUACCCUGGUAGUCCAUGCCGUAAACGAUGAUUACUAGGUGUUGGGGGAUUGACCCCCUCAGUGCCGCAGUUAACACAAUAAGUAAUCCACCUGGGGAGUACGACCGCAAGGUUGAAACUCAAAGGAAUUGACGGGGGCCCGCACAAGCAGUGGAGUAUGUGGUUUAAUUCGAAGCAACGCGAAGAACCUUACCAGGUCUUGACAUCCGAUGCAUAACACAGAGAUGUGUGAAAUCCUUCGGGACAUCGAGACAGGUGGUGCAUGGUUGUCGUCAGCUCGUGUCGUGAGAUGUUGGGUUAAGUCCCGCAACGAGCGCAACCCUUAUUGCCAGUUACUACGUUAAGAGGACUCUGGCGAGACUGCCGUUGACAAAACGGAGGAAGGUGGGGAUGACGUCAAAUCAUCAUGCCCUUUAUGACCUGGGCUACACACGUACUACAAUGGCGUUAAACAAAGAGAAGCAAGACCGCGAGGUGGAGCAAAACUCAAAAACAACGUCUCAGUUCAGAUUGCAGGCUGCAACUCGCCUGCAUGAAGUCGGAAUUGCUAGUAAUCGCGGAUCAGCAUGCCGCGGUGAAUACGUUCCCGGGCCUUGUACACACCGC